GAUAAACGCUGGCGGCGUGCCUAAUACAUGCGAGUCGAGCGAACGGACGAGAAGCUUGCUUCUCUGAUGUUAGCGGCGGACGGGUGAGUAACACGUGGAUAACCUACCUAUAAGACUGGGAUAACUUCGGGAAACCGGAGCUAAUACCGGAUAAUAUUUUGAACCGCAUGGUUCAAAAGUGAAAGACGGUCUUGCUGUCACUUAUAGAUGGAUCCGCGCUGCAUUAGCUAGUUGGUAAGGUAACGGCUUACCAAGGCAACGAUGCAUAGCCGACCUGAGAGGGUGAUCGGCCACACUGGAACUGAGACACGGUCCAGACUCCUACGGGAGGCAGCAGUAGGGAAUCUUCCGCAAUGGGCGAAAGCCUGACGGAGCAACGCCGCGUGAGUGAUGAAGGUCUUCGGAUCGUAAAACUCUGUUAUUAGGGAAGAACAUAUGUGUAAGUAACUGUGCACAUCUUGACGGUACCUAAUCAGAAAGCCACGGCUAACUACGUGCCAGCAGCCGCGGUAAUACGUAGGUGGCAAGCGUUAUCCGGAAUUAUUGGGCGUAAAGCGCGCGUAGGCGGUUUUUUAAGUCUGAUGUGAAAGCCCACGGCUCACCGUGGAGGGUCAUUGGAAACUGGAAAACUUGAGUGCAGAAGAGGAAAGUGGAAUUCCAUGUGUAGCGGUGAAAUGCGCAGAGAUAUGGAGGAACACCAGUGGCGAAGGCGACUUUCUGGUCUGUAACUGACGCUGAUGUGCGAAAGCGUGGGGAUCAAACAGGAUUAGAUACCCUGGUAGUCCACGCCGUAAACGAUGAGUGCUAAGUGUUAGGGGGUUUCCGCCCCUUAGUGCUGCAGCUAACGCAUUAAGCACUCCGCCUGGGGAGUACGACCGCAAGGUUGAAACUCAAAGGAAUUGACGGGGACCCGCACAAGCGGUGGAGCAUGUGGUUUAAUUCGAAGCAACGCGAAGAACCUUACCAAAUCUUGACAUCCUUUGACAACUCUAGAGAUAGAGCCUUCCCCUUCGGGGGACAAAGUGACAGGUGGUGCAUGGUUGUCGUCAGCUCGUGUCGUGAGAUGUUGGGUUAAGUCCCGCAACGAGCGCAACCCUUAAGCUUAGUUGCCAUCAUUAAGUUGGGCACUCUAAGUUGACUGCCGGUGACAAACCGGAGGAAGGUGGGGAUGACGUCAAAUCAUCAUGCCCCUUAUGAUUUGGGCUACACACGUGCUACAAUGGACAAUACAAAGGGCAGCGAAACCGCGAGGUCAAGCAAAUCCCAUAAAGUUGUUCUCAGUUCGGAUUGUAGUCUGCAACUCGACUACAUGAAGCUGGAAUCGCUAGUAAUCGUAGAUCAGCAUGCUACGGUGAAUACGUUCCCGGGUCU
RNAcentral lists this ribosomal RNA (1371 nucleotides) under uncultured bacterium. RNAcentral describes it as "bacterial SSU rRNA". It matches the Rfam family "Bacterial small subunit ribosomal RNA", at positions 28 to 1381 of the family's 1533-position model. The record is from RNAcentral.